AAAUGUAAAUAAAAAUACAAGAGUAGUAAUAGUUAUGGUCUUGAAACUCAAAAAAUUUGGCGGUAUUUUAGUCUGUUCAGAGGAACCUGUAAAGUAAUUGAUAAUCCACAAUGGACCUUACUUAAUUUUGUAUUUCAAUUUGUAUACCGCCGUUACUUGAAAAUUUUAUAAGAACUAAAAUUUUCAAAAUUUUUGAUUAAAAAGUAAAUCAGGUCAAGGUGCAGUUUAUGGUUAAGUUUUAUAUGGGUUACAAUAAAAUUAUUUAUACGGAUUUAAAUAUAAAUUAAUAUUUUUUGAAGGUGGAUUUGAAAGUAAAUUUCUAAAGAUAAAGAAUUUGAUU
This 340-nucleotide ribosomal RNA is filed under the name Diaphorus nigricans. Its description in RNAcentral is "partial 12S ribosomal RNA". The record is from RNAcentral. Lineage: Eukaryota; Metazoa; Arthropoda; Insecta; Diptera; Dolichopodidae.